RNAcentral lists this ribosomal RNA (301 nucleotides) under uncultured bacterium. RNAcentral describes it as "partial 16S ribosomal RNA". It matches the Rfam family "Bacterial small subunit ribosomal RNA", at positions 509 to 807 of the family's 1533-position model. The record is from RNAcentral.
CAGCCGCCGCGGGAAUACGUAGGGUGCAAGCGUUACUCGGAAUUACUGGGCGUAAGGCGUGCGUAGGUGGUGGUUUAAGUCCGUUGUGAAAGCCCUGGGCUCAACCUGGGAAUUGCAGUGGAUACUGGGUCACUAGAGUGUGGUAGAGGAUAGUGGAAUUUCCGGUGUAGCAGUGAAAUGCGUAGAGAUCGGAAGGAACAUCUGUGGCGAAGGCGACUAUCUGGGCCAACACUGACACUGAGGCACGAAAGCGUGGGGAGCAAACAGGAUUAGAUACCCCGGUAGUCCCUGUCUCUUAUAC